Peromyscus californicus insignis is the source of this 5038-nucleotide long non-coding RNA. RefSeq lists it as uncharacterized. The transcript has 4 exons. NCBI's taxonomy places the organism in Eukaryota, Metazoa, Chordata, Mammalia, Rodentia, Cricetidae. The record is from RefSeq and is a predicted model, not a curated record.
GCGCUGCCCAUGCUGCAUGCUUCGCGCGACGGUCGGCGGGUCGGUCGGUCUGUCUGUCUGUCUUUCUGUCAUCUUCCUUGUGUGGCUCACCAGACCCUGCGGUGGAGUGUAUGUGGGCUGUGUAGGUUUAGGUACCUAAGCGUGAUCUUGCCCUUUUAUGAGAUGUCUGAGAGUAAACUGAAUCUGUUACGAAUGUGGAGGCAGGGGUUGCUAAAGGCAACGUUGUGAAAUUUCUGUGAGUGGCUGAGCCUCACAGGGAGAAAAAAAAUGAAGAAUGGACAAGGUAAGGCUUGAAAGAUACAAAGCCUCCAAGGCAGGAAGAGUCAGCUUUUUUCCUUUGAGGUAUAUUGCGCUAAAUAGUAUAUGCGCUGAAUGUGCUAAAUGGCCACGUUCUGCCUUCCUAGGGGUGUUGAAAUGUACGUUUCAAAUGUUCUCACCACAAAAACUGCUAAGUGUUUGAAAUAAUGGUAUGCUAAUUAGCUCAAUUUAGUUACUUUGCAUUGUACUCAGAAAUCAUUAACAGCACUUUAGUUCAUAUGUGUGUAUAUAAACUUAUAUAUGAAUUUACAGUUAAAAAUGCCUUUUUUAAAACAGCUUGAAGAAGUCCCGAUCAAACCUUACCUCACUUGAGCCAUUUAAACAAAACAGCACUGGGCAGCAAGGGGCUCUUUUGCAGUAUUUGUCAAAGCUAUUGGCAAGGCCGAUGGUUAUCAAAAGCAUUAGCAGUUUAAAAUGAAAACGAUAUACCACUCAGCACACAUGAAGUAGGAACUAGAAUCUGGGAACACAGAUAAUUAAGACAUGGUCUCUGUUCUCAGGUCACUGCUGUUGGUUCUUGUCCAUCUUGCAUGCUCUCACCCUAGUCCUCUGCUCACAUACAUCUUUGUGCACAAAUAACCCAAUAAAAACUUAGCCAGAACUCCCUAGUAUUGAAAUCCCUGGGCCCAGCACCUCAGGCAGGCCUACAACAGAGAGGCCUCUCUUUUCCCACUCUUCCUCAGCAGUUGUCCCUACCAUGGUCCUGAGACAUGCUGUGCAGUGCAUAUUAUGCUCCUCCCAGCACUCCACAGUCCCUAACCCGGUUCUCCAGGCCUUCCCUGUUCGCUCUGGUCCUCAAUUAUCACGUUCUUCUGUGACAUCUCAAAGAUUAACCAUAGCACCAUGUCUCCAGUCCUCAUCAGUCUAUGUCAGAAUUCCACAAGGUUACAAACUCAUGAUGGCAGUGCCCUGCACUAGAGUCCUAAUCAAUGCUCAAUGCCAUGUUAUAAUAAGCACCCCAUAAAUAUCUGAAGCGGAGGCAUGAGAAAAACACGACUUUCUUAACUUGAACUUUCUACCUCUCUCUAUAAACCCAUCCUAAGAAGCAAAUAUUCUCUUCUGGGAAACAACCCCAGAGAAUGGAAGAGGAUGUUCAUAGAAUAAGCAAUACAGACCUUCUUGAAGUCAGAGACCCUGCCUUUAUUUAGCUUCACAUGUACCUUAGCAAAAAGCAAACAUACUUCACCAAAGUUCUGGAGCACUGUAUAUUGGCUACAAAGAGUGAUUCUUAUCCCAAAACAUGAAAUUUUGUGCAUAGGAUACUGGGCCCUAACAACAAAACAAAAAAUAAUGGAAGGAAAAAAAAUAAAAGCCUUAGGGUGAUAAAGAAAACAACAUGAAACAAAGUAGAAAGACUGACAGAAAUUCUAAAAUGUAAAUCAGAGGGAAAAUGUCUUACAUAAAAGUCGUUUGUAGGGACUCCUCUUGCACAAGGAUUACUGUAUGUGUAAAUGUGGGUUGCCAUGCCAAAAAGUUCAGGUUACUUAAUGAAAAUUGUUUUGGAAACCGGUGACACCCUAAGCAAUCUCUUUUAUCAACAGAGUGAAUUAUAGUCACCAGUCCAGCCCGUCAAGAUGGAGCAAUGAGUGAAUCCACUGCCUGAUUUAACACAACAAAAAGCAAACAGGCAGUACACGCAAGGAAGAGAGGUGGGCAGACAGCGAGAAGAGAGCGUCUAUCGAUAUGAUGCACGAGUCUGACUCUAAGCAGCUUCUCGGUCCAAGCGUGAGCCUUUUCCAUGCAGUUGAACAUGGCUAAACAAACCCACCUUACAGAUGAACAUCUACACUGGUGUCCUGGCCUGAGUUCGUCAAAGAUGGUGAUGCAGGCACACGGUACUCCGAGAGCAGGCCCAGUGGGCAGCUUUGGGAACACGCAGGGACAAUCAAGGAGGAGACCAGGAGCCCAUCUCCAGAUCUUCAGCCCCCAGCUCACCUCCAAGGCCCUGUUCUCAGAACUCCCCCAGCAGAGAACAGCACUCUGGGUAGGUUUAUCACCAGGCUGCACCUGUGGGAUUUGGUGCGCAGGGAGGCAGAAUGCUACCUACGGGAGGGACAUAGUUCCUGAGACGGAGUAAAGAGGAAGUAGUUGUCACUGCCAGUGGGGAGCAGGAAGUAAAUGCUGGCAAGGGACUUCCUGGAGAUGAAGUGAUCAGUCCCUCCUCCCGAAACAGCCUCUUCAUUGCAGAAAUGGAACAGAAAUGUUCCAGAACAAGAGUCACAUGGCUCUCUCUUGCCGUGAGCUUGGACAUGGGUCAAGAACAUCUGGGAUGUCAGCAUGAGCAACUCAGUCUUAAAGACCACUCAGCCCAGCUUUCUCCUCUUGUUCACAGACCCUGAGCCCCAAAGUGAGCAGGUCCUUGGCCCAUGCAGGGCCACUGCUGCAUGCGCCCUCAAGUGAGGCAUGCAGAUGCUGUGGUUUGCCAAACAGCCCUGUCUUGACUGACCCCCACUCCCUUCUGAGUCUAGUCCUUUGUCUUCUCCACAGCUGCAAACGGCCUGUUUGUAUGCUGCUUUUAAUGUCUGAUAUCCCAUUCAGCCUUAGCUGCUGUGAGGGCAACUGGUUUUUCUCUCUGCUCUGUUCCCUGUGCUGAAAACACAGUAAGUCCAUCACAUAAUCUCUUUUCUCAAAGUCAUUUCAUGAACAAAAUAUUGUACCCAUUUUACAGAUGGGGAAACUAAGGUUUAAAUGCAAAGGAGAAACAUAGGAUUCAGUUAGAGAUAUAAAAAACAAAACCUUUUUCCUUACGUGCUCUACUAUGAUUCUAGUAAGAUUAACUGAGCAGGGUCAGGCAGUCUAUGGAAGCAGGAGGUGCCUAGUGGGGGAAGCAGAUCUUGACAGAGGGUGAAGCUUAGACCUCAAAGGGUUUCAUUUGGAGGUCUGUACCUACUUAACCACCAUGUCCACUCAGCCAGGCUCACAAGCUGACACAGAGUCAGCACUCACAGCUCACAGGCAUGAAAGCAUCUUCCGGAGCAUGUGGGACCCUUGCCAUGCUCCUGCUAUUAGCUGUCACUCAUGUGCUGUUUCUUCUCUCUGCUCCACCCUGUCACUGUGCUGCGAAAACACAGGACUCUGAAAUCUCCGUUUACUGAACAAACUUAUACAUGUUCCUUGACUUGCAGUCUGCUUAUCCCUGAAAUGGGUUGACACAUUUCUUCCCCAGCUUGGUCUGAAGAUGGAGUCGGUCAAUGAAAAGCACUGGGAGGAGUGUUGAGCAGGUAGAAGAUGGUUCUCCAUCAGUGAGGGGUGAGAAUACUACAUGUCAGUAACUGUGCCGCUCCAGGGCCUGGCUGCCAUGCUAAGCCUGCUCCCUGCCCGCCCGAAGCUGUUGGUCUGGCAUUGGCAAUAGAUCAGAAACCAGCAAUCACAAGACAGCCUGGAGUAGCCCAGGACAGGAAGUUCAUCGACUCCUGACUUGCUUGCAGAGAGAGUAGACACACUCAUCAGACAGAAACAGACAUAGUAGGCAUUAACUUGACCAGACCCAGGAUCGGGGCAGAGCGAGGGUGCUUUUAAGCAGAACGUAUUCAAUGUGAGGUAGUAUGAGUAUGGAGGGUCUCAGAGCUCAAGUACCGUCCCUUUAGCAAGACAGAGAAGAAGAAGAGUGAAGGAGACGGCCAGCAGAGCAAGCAGAACCCAGGUCAGCCAGGCCAUAGGAAGGAGGAAAUGUUCCCCAAACAGCAGAAAAGAAUCAGGCAGGGAGGUUAGCCCUGCCAUGGCCUAUCCUCCACCCCUGUCAGUCAUGCCCCUUAAGUGAUGAAGAAGAGCAUGAGCCACUCUGGUAAGCUCCUCAGACCUAUGACUGUUGCUCCCAAAAGGCCAGUGGGGCCCCCACAAAUGCAGCUCCUGGGAAACCCACAGAGUAGAGAGCAAGGAGAGACCUCCAUCUGUGUAGAAGCAUAUGCAACAGAGCUAUCCUCUCCUUCCACCACAGACAACAAAGUAGAGACAACCUAGAUCCAAACAUUUGAGAACUGCGACACCAGGAGAGGCACACCUGGGAAUGAAGAUGGUGACCAAGAAAGGCUAUCUGUAUGCCACCUCCAGGUCUGACCUAACGAUUAUGUCCUUUCACUGGCUCUCCUCCACCCUGGAGCCGAGCUCUCGUCUGUAGAAGUGUCCAUCACAGAGCUCUCUACCAGAUGCCAGCUCGGAAAACCUCUUUGUGUUGAGAAUGCGAUGGCAUCAGAACAGUUACGGCACGUCCAACACAGAUCUCAGUCCAACUGGGAAACUAACUUGGACGUGAAGUGCUUGGCUCAGAGCUUCUCCUUUAUUCUUCUAUUUUGCCGGAAUACGGAUACAAGGACUUGGAGUCUUAUCCCUCAACCGCACAUUUGAAGGUCGUGUCCCAUUUGCAAAUCAGAUUUAUGUUUCAAGUGAAAGCAAUUUUUUUUUUCUCUGAGCCAGGGUAACAGAUGGCAGAUGUCUACAGAGUAUGCAGACCUCAAGAAGAAUUGCUUGGGGUGCAAACAAACCCAUGCAACAGCUGUAUUACAAACACCCCCGCAUGUGACCCAGGCAGCAAACACCUUCUGCCCAAGAGUGUCACUUUUCAGAAAUGUGCCAUGAUGCUCAGCUCUCUCUCCUUAGACUUGCUUCCUCCACCUUCAUCUACUCAUUCUGUGUUCCACUUCAUUUCUUUCCCAGACUCAACCUAUCCCCAUAUCUAAAGCCAUUGUACCCUGAGAAAUUGGUCCCCACGUUCCCAGUUGCU